RNAcentral lists this long non-coding RNA (782 nucleotides) under Anser brachyrhynchus (Pink-footed goose). RNAcentral's name for it is "lncRNA (ENSABRG00000008636.1)". The record is from RNAcentral. Lineage: Eukaryota; Metazoa; Chordata; Aves; Anseriformes; Anatidae.
UUCAGACUCCAGCAAUUUGAUUCAGCUAUUCUAGUAUGAAAAACCUCACACAACAUAGCCCAUACCAAUGAAGUGCUGUCUUACCAGUCUGGUACAAAACUCUGCAACUCCUCCUUUUCAGAGUUCCCAGCAACCUCUGAUGUCCAUUUAAAGCAGCAUUCCAUUUUUUUUCACAUCGAUUUAAUUGACUGUGCCCCAGAGAUCUAAAGACACAAACCACUGUAUCAUGUUUACAUGGCAAGUUGUUCGCAGUUGAGUGUCUGCAGUUUGGCUCCGAGGAGAGACUAGGGCUGCCCCAUGCUGGACACAGCCAGUUCCAGCAGCUUCCAUGCCACCCCAGAAGACCCACUGCACGGCACAGGAGGAGUGGGAGAGCAAGUGGAUGGGGGUCUGGUAGCCAGUCAAGAACUACACCUAUCAGAUCAAAGAGAAAAAUGAGCAAUUUUACUCAUAUGCUACAGAAAAUGGAAGAUGCAUGCUGAAGAGAUGGGGCCUGAAACAAAAGAAUUUAACUGCCUGUCUAGCUUAGGUGAAUAUAACCCCGUGAAACUGAGAUGAUGUGAAACCCUUUGCUUUACAGCCUGUUAUGCCACAAAGUUCUUGGGUGACAAUAGGCAGGUAACUUAGACCAAUGUUUCAAAGCUAAUUGUGUAUCAUCUUUUCUUUGGGUAUUUGAUUUAACAGUCUCUAUUCCACAUAUAACCUGAAAAUCCCUAUUUUUAGCAGAAUUAAAUUGAUAUUAUGUUUGGCCAGAUGAAGUGCUAGACAAAAAAAUCCCAAGG